UGGAAGCAUGGAGUUCCAGGG
This 21-nucleotide unclassified non-coding RNA is filed under the name Mus musculus (house mouse). Its description in RNAcentral is "oocyte_clustered_small_RNA1411". Lineage: Eukaryota; Metazoa; Chordata; Mammalia; Rodentia; Muridae. The record is from RNAcentral.